RNAcentral lists this ribosomal RNA (589 nucleotides) under uncultured Acidovorax sp. Its description in RNAcentral is "bacterial SSU rRNA". It matches the Rfam family "Bacterial small subunit ribosomal RNA", at positions 74 to 659 of the family's 1533-position model. Lineage: Bacteria; Pseudomonadati; Pseudomonadota; Betaproteobacteria; Burkholderiales; Comamonadaceae. The record is from RNAcentral.
CGGACUUCGGUCUGGUGGCGAGUGGCGAACGGGUGAUUAAUGUAUCGGAACGUGCCUAGUAGCGGGGGAUAACUACGCGAAAGCGUGGCUAAUACCGCAUACGCCCUACGGGGGAAAGCAGGGGACCGCAAGGCCUUGCGCGGACGGAGCGGCCGAUGGCAGAUUAGGUAGUUGGUGGGAUAAAAGCUUACCAAGCCGACGAUCUGUAGCUGGUCUGAGAGGACGACCAGCCACACUGGGACUGAGACACGGCCCAGACUCCUACAGGAGGCAGCAGUGGGGAAUUUUGGACAAUGGGCGAAAGCCUGAUCCAGCCAUGCCGCGUGCAGGAUGAAGGCCUUCGGGUUGUAAACUGCUUUUGUACGGAACGAAAAGACUCCUUCUAAUAAAGGGGGUCCAUGACGGUACCGUAAGAAUAAGCACCGGCUAACUACGUGCCAGCAGCCGCGGUAAUACGUAGGGUGCAAGCGUUAAUCGGAAUUACUGGGCGUAAAGCGUGCGCAGGCGGUUCGGAAAGAAAGAUGUGAAAUCCCAGAGCUUAACUUUGGAACUGCAUUUUUAACUACCGAGCUAGAGUGUGUCAAGAGUG